Molecule: ribosomal RNA, 1261 nt
Filed under: Enoplops potanini
Lineage: Eukaryota; Metazoa; Arthropoda; Insecta; Hemiptera; Coreidae
Description: 16S ribosomal RNA
Rfam family: Eukaryotic large subunit ribosomal RNA (bases 576-1261)
Source: RNAcentral
UUAAAUUUAAAUCUUGUUUUAUAUUUUAUUUUUUUUAUUUUUUUAUAAAAUUAUUUUUUUUGUUAGUAUUGUUAAGUGAAAUUAUUAUUUUUACUAUAGUUAAUAUUACUGUGAAGGAAAUUUUUAAUUUUUGUAGAAGCAGAUUUUUUUUGUUGUACCUUUUGUAUCAGGGUCUAUUAACUUAAAAUUAAUUAUUAUUAAUUUUCCCGAAAUUAAGAGAGUUAUGUUUAAAUGAUAGUUUACGUUUUAUAGUAAUUUUUAAUUUAUACAUAGAGGUUAUAUGCUAUUCAAUUUUAAAUAUCUGGUUGUUUAAUAUAUUAAUUUAAUUAAGACUAUUAUUUUGUUAAUUUAAAAAUUUAUUUUUUUUAAUUUUAAUAGUUAAGAUUUUAGGGGAUAAGCUCUAUUUUAGUUUUAUAAUCUACAGGUGUUUAAGGCUUAGUAGGCUUGACAACAGCCAUCAUAUAUUUCGUUAUAGUUAAUUCUUUUAUUUAUUUAAUUUAGUUUAGAUUUAAAUUUUUAUUAAACUUUUUAUUUUAAUUAUCUUUUUAAAGUGAUAAUGAUAGAAUUAGUAGUUUUGAAUAUUUAAAUAUAGUAAUUCGGCAAUUUUAAUUCCCGCCUGUUUAACAAAAACAUGUCUUAUAGAUCUUAAUUUUAAGUCUAAUCUGCCCGGUGAGUUAUUAAACGGCCGCAGUAUAUUGACUGUGCGAAGGUAGCAUAAUCAUUUGUCUUUUAAUUGAAGGCUAGUAUAAAUGAUUGGACGAGGAAUUGACUUUCUUUAUUUAAUUUUUAUUAAUUUGAUUUUUGAGUUAAAAAGCUUAAAUUUUUUUGCAAGACGAGAAGACCCUAUAGAAUUUUAUUUUUAUUUGUUUAUUUAUUAAUUGGUAAAUUAAUUUUAGGUAAAUUAAUAAUAAUUUUGUUGGGGCGACAGUGAAAUUCAAUUAACUUUCAUUUAUUUUAUUCAUUAAUUUAUGUAUUUUUGAUCCUUUAUUAUGGAUUAUAAGAUUAAAUUACCUUAGGGAUAACAGCGUAAUUUUUUCAGAGAGUUCUUAUCGAUGAAAUAAGUUUGCGACCUCGAUGUUGGAUUAAAGUAAGUUUUUGGUGUAGGAGCUUAAUAACUAAGUCUGUUCGACUUUUAAUUCUUUACAUGAUCUGAGUUCAGACCGGCGUGAGCCAGGUUGGUUUCUAUCUGCAAUUUUUAUAUUAUAUUUUAGUACGAGAGGACCAAAUAUAAGUAAUAUUUAUUUUUAUUUGAUUAUUAUUA